This 72-nucleotide transfer RNA is filed under the name Trichonephila inaurata madagascariensis. Its description in RNAcentral is "tRNA-Thr". It matches the Rfam family "tRNA". Rfam says of the family: Transfer RNA (tRNA) molecules are approximately 80 nucleotides in length. Lineage: Eukaryota; Metazoa; Arthropoda; Arachnida; Araneae; Nephilidae. The record is from RNAcentral.
GGGGCGUAGCUCAAAUGGUAGAGCCCUCGCUUAGUCUGCGAGAGGUACGGGGAUCGAUACCCCGAGCUUCCA